GACUACUGGUGUAUCUAAUCCUGUUUGCUCCCCACACUUUCGUGCCUCAGCGUCAGUUACAGUCCAGAAAGUCGCCUUCGCCACUGAUGUUCCUCCUAAUAUCUACGCAUUCCACCGCUACACUAGGAAUUCCACUUUCCUCUACUGCACUCAAGUAUAGCAGUUUUAGAAGCAGCACCUGAGUUAAGCUCUAGGUAUUUCACUUCUAACUUGCUACACCGCCUACACACCCUUUACGCCCAGUCAUUCCGAACAACGCUUGCCCCCUACGUAUUACCGCGGCUGCUGGCACGUAGUUAGCCGGGGCUUAUUCCUUGGGUACCGUCAUUUUUUUCGUCCCCAAUUAAAGAACUUUACAAUCCGAAGACCUUCUUCAUUCAUGCGGCAUUGCUGGGUAAGAGUUGCCUCCAUUGCCCAAUAUUCCCCACUGCUGCCACCCGUAGG
Molecule: ribosomal RNA, 444 nt
Filed under: uncultured bacterium
Lineage: Bacteria
Description: partial 16S ribosomal RNA
Source: RNAcentral